RNAcentral lists this transfer RNA (74 nucleotides) under marine sediment metagenome. Its description in RNAcentral is "tRNA-Val". It matches the Rfam family "tRNA". Rfam says of the family: Transfer RNA (tRNA) molecules are approximately 80 nucleotides in length. Their secondary structure includes four short double-helical elements and three loops (D, anti-codon, and T loops). The record is from RNAcentral.
GCUCGCUUAGCUCAGUUGGUCAGAGCGCUUCGGUGACAUCGAAGAGGCCAUAGGUUCAAGUCCUAUAGUGAGCA